AGUCGGGCGGCAGCGGGGUGGGAGCUUGCUCCCACUGCCGGCGAGCGGCGCUCGGGUGAGUAACACGUAUGCAACCUGCCCCUGUCAGGGGGACAACCCGCCGAAAGGCGGGCUAAGCCCGCGUAUAUCGCCCCGGGGCAUCCCGGGGGGAGGAAAGGAGCGAUCCGGACAGGGAUGGGCAUGCGGCGCAUUAGCUGGUCGGCGGGGUAACGGCCCACCGAGGCGACGAUGCGUAGGGGUUCUGAGAGGAAGGCCCCCCACACUGGUACUGAGACACGGACCAGACUCCUACGGGAGGCAGCAGUGAGGAAUAUUGGUCAAUGGGCGGGAGCCUGAACCAGCCAAGCCGCGUGAGGGAAGAAGGUACAGCGUAUCGUAAACCUCUUUUGUCAGGGAACAAAGGCGGGGACUAGUCCCCGGAUGAGGGUACCUGAAGAAAAGGCAUCGGCUAACUCCGUGCCAGCAGCCGCGGUAAUACGGAGGAUGCGAGCGUUAUCCGGAUUUAUUGGGUUUAAAGGGUGCGUAGGCGGACUGUCAAGUCAGCGGUAAAAUACGGGGGCUCAACCUCCGCCCGCCGUUGAAACUGACGGUCUCGAGUGGGCGAGAAGUAUGCGGAAUGCGUGGUGUAGCGGUGAAAUGCAUAGAUAUCACGCAGAACUCCGAUUGCGAAGGCAGCAUACCGGCGCCCAACUGACGCUGAAGCACGAAAGCGUGGGUAUCGAACAGGAUUAGAUACCCUGGUAGUCCACGCAGUAAACGAUGAAUACUAGCUGUCCGGG
RNAcentral lists this ribosomal RNA (779 nucleotides) under uncultured bacterium. RNAcentral describes it as "bacterial SSU rRNA". It matches the Rfam family "Bacterial small subunit ribosomal RNA", at positions 60 to 828 of the family's 1533-position model. The record is from RNAcentral.